Molecule: long non-coding RNA, 1613 nt
Filed under: Triticum aestivum (bread wheat)
Lineage: Eukaryota; Viridiplantae; Streptophyta; Magnoliopsida; Poales; Poaceae
Description: long non-coding RNA (TAES_LNC007751)
Source: RNAcentral
GCAUUUAUAUAUUUUUUUUGGAAUUUGCCUGCCCAUAAUAUUUACUAACUUAUGUUGUCCGUUGGAUCAAUAAAUUGCCAUGGUUUAGAAUAGAAAAAUAGUGGGAUUAGAUUUUACGUACACCCCAUUUAAUUUAGAGAAAAUUGUAUUUUCGGUCUCUCAACUCUAAAACAAGACAUAUUGCACUCUUAUAACUCUUCAAAAAACUGUGCAAGUUUAGGGCCAGUAAUAGGCGCCGGCGCACCGGCCCAAAAGUUUCGGCCAGUCGUCACCCUGCCGUCCGAUACAGUAGCGCACAGCCGUUUGAUUUGAUCCGCAGCAGCUUCCUCCUUAUCCCGUCUUCCUGUAGACCCCCAUCGCCUCCUGCUUGCAGCUCCACGUCGGCUAGCCGUCGCCGGCCGUCACCCCUCCCACCCCCGCGCUCGCCGCAAGUAACGUCUACCCAUCGUCCAGGCCGUGAGUGACGAGCACCGGCGAGGACCGUUCCCCACCGCCGGGAUUGCAACACGGCUGCCAGUGGAUCGUAGGGCGUGGUCACUAUGGAUGUAGCUCUGAGGCCUGCCGGUUCUAGCUCGCGGGCGCCAUGGUUGCAGCAGAUCUCACGUCGCCGGCUCCGGCUUGCCGCCCUCGUCAACUAGCACCAUCAUGUUCUCAGCGAAAAAAUCUGAGAAAGCAAAAAAUCUUGAUGGUCAGUUGAAGCAAAAAAAGUGUCUGGUUCCAGCUAGAAUUAACAAAGGUUCCAGCUAAAAAAGACACAACAACAAACUCCAACAAAUGUUUGAUGUAGCAAAUGAACUAGCUGGUUCCAGUAAAAAGGUGCGCUGGUUCCAGCAAAAAAAGAAUGUCGCCGUCGUGUUCCCAGCGAAAAAUCUUAGAAAACAAAGAACUCAAUGGUCGGUUGAAGCAAAAAGAUUUACCGGUUCCAUCCAGAAUUUACCAUGGUUACAGCAAUAAAGACAUAGCAGCAAACCCAAACAAAUCGGAUGUAGCAAAUGAACUAGCCGGUUCCAGUAAAAAACUUUACUGGUUCCAGCAAAAAAAAAAAAAUUGCCGGCGAGGGUGUGUUUUGGGUCCAGCGAAAGUGCAUGUAGCCUUGCUAAUUGGAGCAAACAUCGACGCCUGUUCCAGCAAAAGUGCUGGCCAGUGGCUUGCAGCAAACUCACGCCGUGGCAUCUCUGUCGCGCCGCCGUCAGUGGUUUGCCGCCAAAAAGCUGAAACGCCUCGCCGCGUCGGGUCGCCGCCGUUCGCGGAUGGCGGUGGUGUAGCCGCGCGGCAGCCAGCGCAUGUGGGGCAAGAGUAGAGAGGGGAGGAAGAUCCUCGCGAGAGGCCAUCCAUGGGAGCUCGCGAGAGCUUGUUGGUUGCAGAGGAGAAAGAGCGGCGGUGCUCAUCGCCGGCUGCGCACGGACGAUGGCGGAAGAGAGAUGGGGAAUGGAUGCAACUGUGUUGGAGUAGAAAAAUGAGUGGAGAAAAGCAACUCACACGAUAAGAUAAGGCUGGUCAAAGCGGUGUGCGGUCGUGGCUCAACUGGCGCGAGAAGAUGCCCAUGGGGAUGGUGGCGGAGCUGGCCAGGGCCAGGGAACCUCGUUGGCCGUGAGUGAAGCUGGAGUUCAUCC